AACGACUCUCGGCAACGGAUAUCUCGGCUCUCGCAUCGAUGAAGAACGUAGCGAAAUGCGAUACUUGGUGUGAAUUGCAGAAUCCCGUGAACCAUCGAGUCUUUGAACGCAAGUUGCGCCCGAGGCUUUUGGCUGAGGGCACGUCUGCCUGGGCG
RNAcentral lists this ribosomal RNA (155 nucleotides) under Odontostemma leucasterium. Its description in RNAcentral is "Arenaria leucasteria 5.8S ribosomal RNA". It matches the Rfam family "5.8S ribosomal RNA". From Rfam's summary of the family: 5.8S ribosomal RNA (5.8S rRNA) is a component of the large subunit of the eukaryotic ribosome. It is transcribed by RNA polymerase I as part of the 45S precursor that also contains 18S and 28S rRNA. Functionally, it is thought that 5.8S rRNA may be involved in ribosome translocation. RNAcentral also lists the same sequence under 1 other name. Lineage: Eukaryota; Viridiplantae; Streptophyta; Magnoliopsida; Caryophyllales; Caryophyllaceae. The record is from RNAcentral.